Molecule: ribosomal RNA, 287 nt
Filed under: uncultured bacterium
Lineage: Bacteria
Description: partial 16S ribosomal RNA
Rfam family: Bacterial small subunit ribosomal RNA
Source: RNAcentral
CCUACGGGACGCAGCAGUGGGGGAUAUUGCACAAUGGGGGGAACCCUGAUGCAGCGACUCCGCUUUUUUUAAGAAGCGCCCCGGCGUGUAAAGCCCUGUCAGCAGGGAAGAAGAAGGACGGUACCUGACCAAGAAGCCCCGGCUAACUACGUGCCAGCAGCCGCGGUAAUACGUAGGGGGCAAGCGUUAUCCGGAUUUACUGGGUGUAAAGGGGGCGCAGACGGCGAUGCAAGCCAGGAGUGAAAUCCCGGGGCCCAACCCCGGGACUGCUCUUGGAACUGCGUGGC